GAGUUUGAUCCUGGCUCAGAACGAACGCUGGCGGCGUGGAUAAGACAUGCAAGUCGAACGGGACUUAUUUUGUAGCAAUACAAGGUAAGUUCAGUGGCGUAAGGGUGCGUAACACGUGGGGAAUCUGCCGAGAAGUGGGGGAUAGCUCGCCGAAAGGCGAAUUAAUACCGCAUGUGAUCAGGAAAGACAUCUUUCCGACAUCAAAGCCGGGGCAACCUGGCGCUUCUUGAUGACCCCGCGGCCUAUCAGCUAGUUGGUGAGGUAACGGCUCACCAAGGCUAUGACGGGUAGCUGGUCUGAGAGGACGACCAGUCACACUGGAACUGAGACACGGUCCAGACACCUACGGGUGGCAGCAGUCGAGAAUUUUUCUCAAUGGGGGAAACCCUGAAGGAGCGACGCCGCGUGGAGGAUGAAGGUCUUCGGAUUGUAAACUCCUGUCAUUUGGGAACAAUGUGCAUGGAUUAACUGUCGAUGCAUUGAUAGUACCAGAAGAGGAAGAGACGGCUAACUCUGUGCCAGCAGCCGCGGUAAUACAGAGGUCUCAAGCGUUGUUCGGAUUCAUUGGGCGUAAAGGGUGCGUAGGCGGCGGGGUAAGUCGGAUGUGAAAUCUCAGGGCUCAACCCUGAAACUGCAUUCGAUACUGCUCUGCUCGAGGACUCGAGAGGAGAUUGGAAUUCACGGUGUAGCAGUGAAAUGCGUAGAUAUCGUGAAGAAGACCAGUGGCGAAGGCGGAUCUCUGGAGAGUUCCUGACGCUGAGGCACGAAGGCCAGGGGAGCAAACGGGAUUAGAUACCCCGGUAGUCCUGGCAGUAAACGGUGCACGUUUGGUGUGGGAGGAUUCGACCCCUUUCCGUGCCGGAGCUAACGCGUUAAACGUGCCGCCUGGGGAGUACGGUCGCAGAUUAAACUC
Molecule: ribosomal RNA, 913 nt
Filed under: uncultured bacterium
Lineage: Bacteria
Description: bacterial SSU rRNA
Rfam family: Bacterial small subunit ribosomal RNA
Source: RNAcentral